UAUCCUUUCAUAGGUUCUUGAUUUG
RNAcentral lists this microRNA (25 nucleotides) under Bombyx mori (domestic silkworm). RNAcentral's name for it is "bmo-miR-3377-3p". The record is from miRBase by way of RNAcentral. Lineage: Eukaryota; Metazoa; Arthropoda; Insecta; Lepidoptera; Bombycidae.